RNAcentral lists this ribosomal RNA (426 nucleotides) under uncultured bacterium. RNAcentral's name for it is "bacterial SSU rRNA". It matches the Rfam family "Bacterial small subunit ribosomal RNA", at positions 356 to 773 of the family's 1533-position model. The record is from RNAcentral.
GGGGAAUUUUGCGCAAUGGGGGAAACCCUGACGCAGCAACGCCGCGUGGGUGAUGAAGGCCUUCGGGUCGUAAAGCCCUGUCGGGAGGGAAGAAAUGAUUGAGGGUUAAUACCUCUUGAUCUUGACGGUACCUCCGAAGGAAGCACCGGCUAACUCCGUGCCAGCAGCCGCGGUAAUACGGAGGGUGCAAGCGUUGUUCGGAAUUAUUGGGCGUAAAGCGCGUGUAGGCGGUCUUUUAAGUCUGAUGUGAAAGCCCCGGGCUCAACCUGGGAAGUGCAUUGGAAACUGGGAGACUUGAGUACGGGAGAGGAGAGUGGAAUUCCUAGUGUAGGAGUGAAAUCCGUAGAUAUUAGGAGGAACACCGGUGGCGAAGGCGGCUCUCUGGACCGAUACUGACGCUGAGACGCGAAAGCGUGGGUAGCAAAC